GAUGAACGCUAGCGGCAGGCUUAAUACAUGCAAGUCGAGGGGCAGCACGAAUAGCAAUAUUUGGUGGCGACCGGCGCACGGGUGCGUAACACGUAUACAACCUACCUAUAACAGGGGGAUAGCCUUUCGAAAGAGAGAUUAAUACCCCGUAAUAAAUUGAGUGGCAUCACUUGAUUUUGAAAGCUACGGCGGUUAUAGAUGGGUAUGCGUCUGAUUAGCUAGUUGGUGAGGUAACGGCUCACCAAGGCGACGAUCAGUAGGGGAUCUGAGAGGACUAACCCCACACUGGUACUGAGACACGGACCAGACUCCUACGGGAGGCAGCAGUAAGGAAUAUUGGUCAAUGGAGGCAACUCUGAACCAGCCAUGCCGCGUGCAGGAUGACGGCCCUAUGGGUUGUAAACUGCUUUUGUACCAGAGAAAACCUACUCACGUGUGAGUAGCUGAUAGUAUGGUAAGAAUAAGCAUCGGCUAACUUCGUGCCAG
RNAcentral lists this ribosomal RNA (486 nucleotides) under uncultured bacterium. RNAcentral's name for it is "bacterial SSU rRNA". It matches the Rfam family "Bacterial small subunit ribosomal RNA", at positions 28 to 511 of the family's 1533-position model. The record is from RNAcentral.